GAGUUUGAUCUUGGCUCAGAUUGAACGCUGGCGGCAUGCUUUACACAUGCAAGUCGAGCGGCAGCGCGGGGCAACCUGGCGGCGAGCGGCGAACGGGUGAGGAAUACAUCGGAACGUACCCGAGAGUGGGGGAUAACGCCGCGAAAAGCGGCGCUAAUACCGCAUAUUCUCUAAGGAGGAAAGUGGGGGACCUGCAAGGGCCUCACGCUCACGGAGCGGCCGAUGUCCGAUUAGCUAGUUGGUGGGGUAAAGGCUUACCAAGGCGACGAUCGGUAGCUGGUCUGAGAGGAUGAUCAGCCACACUGGGACUGAGACACGGCCCAGACUCCUACGGGAGGCAGCAGUGGGGAAUUUUGGACAAUGGGGGCAACCCUGAUCCAGCCAUGCCGCGUGCGGGAAGAAGGCC
RNAcentral lists this ribosomal RNA (406 nucleotides) under uncultured beta proteobacterium. Its description in RNAcentral is "bacterial SSU rRNA". It matches the Rfam family "Bacterial small subunit ribosomal RNA", at positions 9 to 416 of the family's 1533-position model. The record is from RNAcentral. Lineage: Bacteria; Pseudomonadati; Pseudomonadota; Betaproteobacteria.